GCGAGUAUAGGUUAUACUAUCUUAAACCCGCAAGUUUAUUUUUUGCAAAAGCCUAGGCUGUUCGUA
RNAcentral lists this transfer RNA (66 nucleotides) under Phallusia fumigata. RNAcentral's name for it is "transfer RNA-Met (AUA)". Lineage: Eukaryota; Metazoa; Chordata; Ascidiacea; Phlebobranchia; Ascidiidae. The record is from RNAcentral.